ACCGCGGUACGGAGUGAUGCUGCUCCUGGCAGACAGGAAGAAGAUAGGAAACAUGUAUACAAGCUGCAAAAUGUCUUUUUCACUGAGCUGAAUAAGUCAGCGAAUAUAAUGACACCCGUGUAUCUAACAAUGGGGAAACAGCGAGCGCCAAUUCUGCUGAUCGCUCACUCAUGCCAGUGGGAGCUCAAGCUGUGUUCAUAUUCAGACAAGUCUGUCUCUGAGGGCCCACAGCAGACCACCAGUCGACACGUCUUACCUCUGGAAAUGAUUGCCAUGCAGCGGAGUUACUGAUCUGCAAUCAAAGAGCCUCUGAAGCACGGACAGUCCGCCAGCUGUGUGACAGCGGGAGGCUGAAGCUGCUGCUGAAAGAAUUAGGGACUCGCUGGAACUUUUCUCUAAAAUAAUUGCCCCAUGAUGACAGAGUCAUCCAGGGCUUUAUGUAAAAGAAUGACUCACUUUUCUUGGCUUUGCAGAGAUUGGAGUGAAGAGGUUUUUUGUUUGCCCCCCCCCUCCCCUCCCCCCUCCAAUCACAGUGGUGUUGGAGCCGAUUCCAGCACCAGUCAGGAUAUUAGCAGCUGGAAGUGCUGCUCACUGUGUUGACACUUUUAAUUUGCAUACAGGAUUAUCUAAAAAUGAUUGUUUCACACUUGAAUAAAUUCAUGCUUGUUUUUUUUUUUUGUAUGCAAAGACAAGAGAAACACGA
Long non-coding RNA from Poecilia reticulata (guppy), 703 nucleotides. RefSeq lists it as uncharacterized. NCBI's taxonomy places the organism in Eukaryota, Metazoa, Chordata, Actinopteri, Cyprinodontiformes, Poeciliidae. The record is from RefSeq and is a predicted model, not a curated record.